This is a long non-coding RNA of Meriones unguiculatus (Mongolian gerbil), 2924 nucleotides long. RefSeq lists it as uncharacterized. The transcript is spliced from 4 exons. The record is from RefSeq and is a predicted model, not a curated record. NCBI's taxonomy places the organism in Eukaryota, Metazoa, Chordata, Mammalia, Rodentia, Muridae.
UCUGAUUAUAUUUCACAAUGUCAGGGCACUGGGGCAUGUCCGAAUAGUGUUUGGGGCAAAGUAUGUUUUUAAAUAGGUACCCAGGCAUGUCUCUCUCUCCUCUCUCACACACACAUACACAUUGUGUACGUGGAGGGGGAACAGUGUGACACUUCCGUCCCUCGCCUGAGCAUGAUAAAUAAAUAUUGCCUUACUAAGAGACAGAUACACCACGCGAAGACUCCUCAAGGGUGGUUUUCCAGGAAAAGAAAAAACAAAACAACAACAACCAAAAACCUUCUAGAAGUUAUCAGGAGGCUUUCCUCAGAACUAUUUUAGUCACUGAAGGAAGAAAGUCUGAAGCAGAGGCUUCCCCCAACUCCAAGAAAACGUGUCAGAGAAGAAAUGAGUGCAUUCUACAGACUAGCAACCCGUAGACGCUGAUACGGUCCUCAGGAACCCCUGUAGAAACAGAAUCCCAGCUAAUGCAAAACCUCCUUACCCACUGUCAACCCUCUCUGCAGAGGUUAAACCAAAAUUCCAAUCUACUCGUCUUUCUCCUCCUCACCAUGUUCAACAUAUCUCCCCAGCCCUGUCCUGUCUUUCCACAAGGCCUAAUUUCUUACAUUGUGCUUCCUCCCUUGAUGGAGUUCCCACAUGUGUUCUCCAAGAGGAAGCCACACACUGAUGGCUGCUGCUUUGAAAAUAAUUUAUGGUUCUAGAGUGGUUCAACCUGCCUCAGACAACACGUGACCUAACAGGAAAGCAGAAUCACAAUGAGAAAUUCAGUCUAAGAAAAUCUGAACCUUUUAGCAACACACGAGAAGGAUUUGGUUUUUCUCUCAUCAAUUCUUGUCCAUGCAGCUCUCACUAAUAAAAUCACCAUGGCCAGGUUGUCACUUGGAACCAUGUCUGUGCUCACAGAAUCUGAAAAUCAUGAAGUCUCCAUCUGGUUUGGACUACUAGCUGUUCAAUGACAGAUGCUAUGUCUAUCUUGCCUUUGCUCCGUAAAGACCACUUUAAAGGAUAAAGAAACCCCUCUAGGUAAAGUGGGUACAGGGCACUCCUUGCUUAUUCUAGAAACAUUCUAAAUACAACAGCUACAUAGGCAGCCUCCAUUCCAGCACCAGACCUUACUGUGUGGUUCCUGAUGUCUAUACAAGGAAGACCAGUGAUAAUUUCCUGGAAUGGUAAAUGUUGAGCUUCGGACCAACCCAACACCUCCAGAACAGGCCUUCAUCAACCCAGCUCAAAAGGGACAGAACAAGAACAUGACUGUCAGUAAGGAGUGAGUCCUCCUGUCUUCCCUACCUCAGUCCCCAGAAACAGCUGGCAUUCCUUAAGGGAGCCCUGCAUGGAUACUCUCUCUUCCAGCAAAGAACCAAAAAGGCAAGAUGAGGGAAGGGGUCAUGGAACUACUAAGUGAAAAAGGCUCUGGCUUCUGGAAUGGGGGAUGAGGGAGUGUAAGACCCAGCACUGGCCAUGCCUCACUUCUUCUCAUGUUCUGUAUAGGGAUAAAUGGCAAAAAUGGGACUUAUCCACAAGCAAGAAAGUUUGAGAGAAACGCUCUCAGUUCCAAUAGCCCAGGGGCUAUACUACUUCACUCUGCUAAUAGGAAGUUGAAAUGACCUUAACUGUGAGUUUGGGGGAGAGACCAGUGCAGGGAACCAGGACCUAUGACCCAGGAACUAGGAAAAGCCACUGGGAGAGAAUGCAUAGCUGGACACUGGACAACAUUUUACCCAUUUCUUGGUUAACUGAUGUAUCUUCUGAGCUAACAUUCAGACCAAGCCAAUGAGGUCCAGGUGGUCCUUCCAAUUCACUCAGUGCCUGACCAGAGGUUGAUCUGCUUAUGCCAGCUCCCUGAUGCUGGCCCUUUUGCUCUCUUCUCGUGUGUUUGUUUUGAUAGUACUUGGGAAUAAAAAAUGGGGAGCAUGAAUAUCCCUCUUUAGUGGUUUUUGUGACACAGGAUCUCCCUAGGUCACCAGGCUGCCUUGAAUUCCUUCUGCAACCCAAGCAAGCUUUAAAUUUAUUAUAAUCCUCCUAGGGUCUCAGCUUCCAGAGCAGGUGGGAUUACAGGCCUGCACCCCAAAUCCUAGCUAGGGCUUCUGCCUUCCAAUCUCACGACCAUGUGUUCUAGUUUCUUUUUUGUUACUAUGAUAAAAUACUUUGAAAAAAGCAUAUUAUGAGGAGAAAGUAGUUUAUUUCUCCUUAAAAUUUCAGGUUUAAAGUCCAUCACAGUAGAAAAACCACAGGGGCAGGAGCUGGGUGGCUAGUCACAUCUGUAGUUGAGAACAGGGAAGGGGUGGGGAUGAGGCACGCAUGCUCACUGGCUUGCCCGUGCUCAGCUCAAUUUCUCUACUCGUAGGUAGUUCAGGAUCUCCUGCCUAGAGAAUGGUGCCACUACAUACCAGAAAGGACAUCCUCACAUAAAUAAAGACCUAUAAUCACAGACAUGCACAGCAGCCAACCCAACGCAGAAAACAAUUGCUCAUUGCGAUUUUCCCCCCAGGGGAUUCUAGGUUAUGUCAAGUUGACAGGAUUUGACCUACUUGGUGACUCUAAGGCACCCUCAGAAGGAAACAAGAGCGUCAGUGAAUGAAAUCCAGAGCAAGGUCUAAAUGCAUUCUCAAAAGCCCUCUCAAAGCUCCUCUACUUACACAGGAAGCUAGCCCCAUGCAAACUGCUGGGCUUCUUGGGAGGGAGACUAUGUCAACAAACACUGACACCCAGCCAAUCUCUCCCUUUGGGGACAACAUGAACUAGGCCAAAGCUUCCAGCCCCAAAAGAAAUAGGCUCCCAGCACAGCUGUAAAACCAUCUGGUUGGGCUCACUCACCUUUCUAAACAGCAACUAAACUGAGAGAAGAAAGCGGCUUCAAUCUGGGGCUUUCUCACCUUCCUUAAGACUGUUUGUGGUUAAAAAAAAUAAAAAUAAAAUCCUAA